UGAGGAAUAUUGCACAAUGGGCGCAAGCCUGAUGCAGCAACGCCGCGUGCGGGACGAAGGCCUUCGGGUCGUAAACCGCUUUUCUGGGGGAAGAGCAAGGACGGUACCUCAGGAAUAAGUCUCGGCUAACUACGUGCCAGCAGCCGCGGUAAAACGUAGGAGGCGAGCGUUAUCCGGAUUUACUGGGCGUAAAGCGCGUGCAGGCGGAUUGGAGAGUUGGAUGUGAAAGCUCCCGGCUUAACUGGGAGAGGUCGUUCAAUACUUCCAGUCUUGAGUGCAGUAGAGGGAAGUGGAAUUCCGGGUGUAGUGGUGAAAUGCGUAGAUAUCCGGAGGAACACCAGUGGCGAAAGCGGCUUCCUGGACUGUAACUGACGCUCAGACGCGAAAGCUAGGGUAGCAAACG
Molecule: ribosomal RNA, 403 nt
Filed under: uncultured bacterium
Lineage: Bacteria
Description: bacterial SSU rRNA
Rfam family: Bacterial small subunit ribosomal RNA
Source: RNAcentral